RNAcentral lists this ribosomal RNA (327 nucleotides) under Pseudopannota maculosa. RNAcentral describes it as "partial 12S ribosomal RNA". Lineage: Eukaryota; Metazoa; Arthropoda; Insecta; Ephemeroptera; Baetidae. The record is from RNAcentral.
ACUAAACUGCCGUUAAUACCACCUGAGUAGUACUAGUUUAUACUUUAAACUCAAAGAAUUUGGCGGCUCUUCAUCCCAUUAGAGGAACCUGCCCCGUAAUCGAUGGUCCACGAACUCCCAAGCCCGGGUUAAAAGUCUGUAUACCGCCGUUUAGAGUGGGCCAAAAGGUCUACUCCUAAUUAAAUUAUUAAAUAAUUCAGGUCAAGGUGCAGCCCAUGCCCGGGAGUGAGGUGGGUUACACUCAGACAAUGAACGGACCCACCCCUGAAGCGGGUGGCGAAGCUGGAUUUAAAAGUAAAUACUGCACAUUUGAUAGGGCCCUGAAGU